AUUUGGAAAGCUAGCAUUCCAUUAAAGAUUAAGAUUUUUAUGUGGCAGCUAUUCCAGGAUGAUAUCCUUACUCGGGAGGUGAUGAAAAAAAGAGGGUGGAAAGGAAACUUGAAGUGUUCAUUCUGUGGAGAGAAUGAGACAUCUCAGCAUCUCUUCUUUACCUGUCCUAUAGCUAGGGCGACAUGGAGAAGUGUUGCCUACAUGCUCGUCACUGAUCUAUGUCCGAACAGUUUAUGGCAGGCUUACUCCUGGUGUUAUGCUUACUUUCCAAAUGGGGAGAUUUUCUACAUAGUUGGCAUUGCUGCCUUGUGCUGGGCUAUUUGGACAUGUCGUAAUGGUGUUACGUUCGAAUCUAAACGUUUGCAAACACCUUUUGAAUGCUGCUUCUCUAUGUGUGCCUUUCUUGGUUACUGGGCAGGACUAUUGAAGCAAGAGGAUGCAGUGGACCUGCGAACUGGUGUGGACAUGCUGAAGAACAGUGCGUCAAGGCUAAUGCGCAUCUGCGCUGCGACUGAGGAUUGA
This 522-nucleotide ribosomal RNA is filed under the name Triticum aestivum (bread wheat). Its description in RNAcentral is "partial small subunit ribosomal RNA". The record is from RNAcentral. Lineage: Eukaryota; Viridiplantae; Streptophyta; Magnoliopsida; Poales; Poaceae.